This 107-nucleotide small RNA is filed under the name Marmota monax (woodchuck). The record is from RNAcentral. Lineage: Eukaryota; Metazoa; Chordata; Mammalia; Rodentia; Sciuridae.
GCCAGGUGUGGUUGUGCAUAUCUGUAAUCCCAGUGACUUGGGAGGUUGAGGCAGGAGGAUUGCAAGUUCAAGGCCAACCUGGGCAACUUAGUUAGACCCUGUCUCAA